GGCGAGAGACCGAUAGCGAACAAGUACCGUGAGGGAAAGAUGAAAAGAACUUUGAAAAGAGAGUUAAAUAGUACGUGAAAUUGUUGAAAGGGAAACGAUUGAAGUCAGUCGUACCUGCGGAUAAUCAGCCUUUAGGAUGCGAUUUUGUGGAGUGUGAGGAGCUAAUCGCCUUCAUGCCUGUAUAUUCGUGUACUUGGGGUGUACUUAUUCGUGUGGUAAGUUAACAUCAAUUUUGGUUGUCAUAAAAUGACUGGAGGAAUGUAGCUUCGAUCUCGUAUUGAAGUGUUAUAGCCUUCGGUAGAUGUGAUUAUCGGGAUUGAGGAUCGCAACGGAUACCCUUCGGGGCUACUUGUCUGAUCUCUGAUCGUUGCUCUGGUGCCGAAAGCGUGCUUACGGUUAUCAAAGUCGAUGGUCAAUAGGUUAGAACGGGUUAAA
This 435-nucleotide ribosomal RNA is filed under the name Rhizophagus intraradices. RNAcentral describes it as "eukaryotic LSU rRNA". It matches the Rfam family "Eukaryotic large subunit ribosomal RNA", at positions 325 to 630 of the family's 3401-position model. Lineage: Eukaryota; Fungi; Glomeromycota; Glomeromycetes; Glomerales; Glomeraceae. The record is from RNAcentral.